Non-coding RNA from Phrynosoma platyrhinos (Desert horned lizard), 71 nucleotides. The record is from the annotation of a GenBank genome assembly. Lineage: Eukaryota; Metazoa; Chordata; Lepidosauria; Squamata; Phrynosomatidae.
ACCAGUGUGGCAUAGUGGUUUGAGCGUUGGACUACAACUCUGGAGAUCAGGGUUCGAUUCCCAGCUUGGUC